This 1219-nucleotide ribosomal RNA is filed under the name uncultured Rhizaria. RNAcentral's name for it is "SSU rRNA". It matches the Rfam family "Eukaryotic small subunit ribosomal RNA", at positions 577 to 1805 of the family's 1831-position model. The record is from RNAcentral.
CGGUAAUUCCCAGCUCCAAUAGCGUAUACUAAAGUUGUUGCAGUUAAAAAGCUCGUAGUUGGAUUUCUGCGGGGACGGAGCGGCCGGACGCAACUUGCGUCUCGAGCUAGCGCUUUCCCCGCAUCCUGCCGCGAACCGUGCUACCAUUAGUUUGGUGGCGCUGGGGAUCGGCUCGAUUACUUUGAGAAAAAUAGAGUGUUCAAAGCAGGCCACACGCCUUGAAUAAGUUAGCAUGGAAUAAUGACUAAGGACUUCGGUUCUAUUUUGUUGGUGUUCGGGACUGAAGUAAUGAUUGAUAGGGACAGUUGGGGCGGUCUGUAUUCCAAAGCGAGAGGUGAAAUUCUUAGACCUUCGGAAGACAAACAGCUGCGAAAGCGUUCCGCAAGGAUGUUCCCUUUGAUCAAGAACGAAAGUUGGGGGAUCGAAGACGAUCAGAUACCGUCGUAGUCUCAACUAUAAACUAUACCGGCUAGGGAUCGGUCAACGUUUAAUUAUUCGACUUGAUCGGCACCUUAUGAGAAAUCAAAGCAUCUGGGUUCCGGGGGGAGUAUGGUCGCAAGGCUGAAACUUAAAGGAAUUGACGGAAGGGCACCACCAGCCGUGGAGCCUGUGGCUUAAUUUGACUCAACACGGGAAAACUUACCAGGUCCAGACAUAGUAAGGAUUGACAGAUUGAUAGCUCUUUCUUGAUUCUGUGGGUGGUGGUGCAUGGCCGUUCUUAGUUGGUGGAGUGAUUUGUCUGGUUAAUUCCGUUAACGAACGAGACCCCAGCCUGCUAAAUAGCGCGGCUGAGCUUUGCUCGGUGCGAGCUUCUUAGAGGGACUAUGAUGCGCGAUAGCACAUGGAAGUUUGGGGCAAUAACAGGUCUGUGAUGCCCUUAGAUGUUCUGGGCCGCACACGGGCUACACUGGCGCCUGCAACGAGCAUAUCAGCUGGCCCGAGAGGGUCUUGGCUAAUCUUUUGAACCGGCGCCGUGCUUGGGAUUGACCUUUGCAAUUGUUGGUCAUGCAACGAGGAAUGCCUUGUAAACGCGAGUCAUCAGCUCGCAUUGAAUACGUCCCUGCCCUUUGUACACACCGCCCGUCGCUCCUACCGAUGAAUGUUCCGAUGAAAUUUUCGGAGAGCGCCAGAGAACGGGGCUCUGCCUUGCAGAUCUGGAGGCUCAAAGUCACUUAAAUCUGAACAUUUCGAGGAAGGAGAAGUCGUAACAAGGUAGCCG